AGUCACGCCGUGAGCACAGAGCGAACUAUUCUUUCGCCUUUUACUAAAGAAUACCGUGUGCUCGCUGCUCUUAGUGGCAUACGCCUAUUUUUGGGAGGGUCCUGCCUGUUGGUAGGGU
Molecule: small nuclear RNA, 118 nt
Organism: Prosopis cineraria
Lineage: Eukaryota; Viridiplantae; Streptophyta; Magnoliopsida; Fabales; Fabaceae
Product: U5 spliceosomal RNA
Exons: 1
Source: RefSeq, a predicted model, not a curated record